CGGCGUUUAACUGGCGUGAUGUGGGACGUCCUACCGGUGGGCUUAGCCUCGCGAGGGGCGGCCCAACUAAUAUCCCGUCGCGGUGCUCUUUACUGAGUGUCGAGUCGGGCCGGUACGUUUACUUUGAACAAAUUAGAGUGCUUAAAGCAGGCUAUCCUCGCCUGAAUACUGCGUGCAUGGAAUAAUGGAAUAGGACCUCGGUUCUAUUUUGUUGGUUUUCGGAACCCCGAGGUAAUGAUUAAUAGGGACAGAUGGGGGCAUUCGUAUUGCGACGUUAGAGGUGAAAUUCUUGGAUCGUCGCAAGACGGACAGAAGCGAAAGCAUUUGCCAAAAAUGUUUUCAUUAAUCAAGAACGAAAGUUAGAGGUUCGAAGGCGAUCAGAUACCGCCCUAGUUCUAACCAUAAACGAUGCCAGCUAGCGAUCCGCCGAAGUUCCUCCGAUGACUCGGCGGGCAGCUUCCGGGAAACCAAAGCUUUUGGGUUCCGGGGGAAGUAUGGUUGCAAAGCUGAAACUUAAAGGAAUUGACGGAAGGGCACCACCAGGAGUGGAGCCUGCGGCUUAAUUUGACUCAACACGGGAAACCUCACCAGGCCCAGACACCGGAAGGAUUGACAGAUUGAUAGCUCUUUCUUGAUUCGGUGGGUGGUGGUGCAUGGCCGUUCUUAGUUGGUGGAGCGAUUUGUCUGGUUAAUUCCGAUAACGAACGAGACUCUAGCCUGCUAAAUAGGCGUACCUUAUGGUAUCGCGAAGGCCCCCGGCUUCGGCCGGUGGGUUUUUACUACCAACGUACAAACAAAUCUUCUUAGAGGGACAGGCGG
RNAcentral lists this ribosomal RNA (819 nucleotides) under uncultured eukaryote. Its description in RNAcentral is "SSU rRNA". It matches the Rfam family "Eukaryotic small subunit ribosomal RNA", at positions 629 to 1426 of the family's 1831-position model. The record is from RNAcentral.